CCUACAGGUGGCAGCAGUGGGGAAUAUUGGACAAUGGGGGCAACCCUGAUCCAGCCAUGCCGCGUGUGUGAAGAAGGCCCUCGGGUUGUAAAGCACUUUCAGUGAGGAAGAACGCCUGGUGGUUAAUACCCAUCAGGAAAGACAUCACUCACAGAAGAAGCACCGGCUAACUCCGUGCCAGCAGCCGCGGUAAUACGGAGGGUGCGAGCGUUAAUCGGAAUUACUGGGCGUAAAGCGCGCGUAGGUGGCUUGAUAAGCCGGUUGUGAAAGCCCCGGGCUCAACCUGGGAACGGCAUCCGGAACUGUCAAGCUAGAGUGCAGGAGAGGAAGGUAGAAUUCCCGGUGUAGCGGUGAAAUGCGUAGAGAUCGGGAGGAAUACCAGUGGCGAAGGCGGCCUUCUGGACUGACACUGACACUGAGGUGCGAAAGCGUGGGUAGCAAACAGGAUUAGAUACCCGUGUAGUC
RNAcentral lists this ribosomal RNA (465 nucleotides) under Vreelandella stevensii. Its description in RNAcentral is "partial 16S ribosomal RNA". It matches the Rfam family "Bacterial small subunit ribosomal RNA", at positions 338 to 795 of the family's 1533-position model. The record is from RNAcentral. Lineage: Bacteria; Pseudomonadati; Pseudomonadota; Gammaproteobacteria; Oceanospirillales; Halomonadaceae.